Molecule: long non-coding RNA, 910 nt
Organism: Rhincodon typus (whale shark)
Lineage: Eukaryota; Metazoa; Chordata; Chondrichthyes; Orectolobiformes; Rhincodontidae
Exons: 2
Source: RefSeq, a predicted model, not a curated record
AGCCCACAGCCACAAAACAGCAUUCACAUUAGAUAUCGAGUUUCUCAUUGAAAGUAUAUAGACGUCAUGGUAGAUCCCUUUUCUAAAAAGAACAGUUCUUUCUUAAUGCAGGCCACAGUUCUUCAAGAUGCAAAAAAGACCUUACAGGGCAGAGACAUCAGAGAGUGAGGUUACAUGCCACAGAAAUCACAGAGUCUCAGUUGCUUUCAUGGCUAUGUUAUAAACCUACUGUUAUUUUCAGUUACGUGCUAAUGUAUACUUACAAACUUUUGUGAUCAUUGCAGAGAGCAACCAAGAUUUAAAACAUACUACCUAGGUCACACUUCUGGUAUGGUUCCCACGUUUGGCUAAUAACCACACACGUAGGGUCAGGGUGAUCAUAGGAAUAAUCCAAAGUAUAAAGAGGAUAAACAAUAUCGAAAACCUCAAGGUUUAAAUUCUGGAGGGAAUCCAGUUAAAAGCAAGUUGGAGUGGAUGCACUGUUACUGACGUAUAGAGUCACAUUUUGGUCUAAUGGACUGCAAAUACAACAGGAACUUUGAACAAGAUGAUUUUACAAUGGAUUUUUGACCCAUUAGUGAACGAGAAUCUAUGUGCUAACAGUGUAUAACUAUAUAUUCUGCAAGAUGGAAAUAGUGGCAAAAAUGUUUCGAGCCAUUUCUUAAGAGUUCAUUGCAAUUUGUCUGCACUCAAUUUGUUGCAAGAAUAGAAGCAAAUUGUGGGUAUUUUUGAUCCUGUGGACGCCUGCCAAGUGAAAAUUCAGCUGCCAAUGACCCUACUAAAGUACCUUAGAACUGUGAAGCAUUCACAUCAAUGGUUAGAAAACCCGCAAAAAAUAAUUUGUGAUCGAUUGUGGUAAAGAAUCCUUUAUUUCCCUCUCUAAUAAAAAAUAUACAAUGUUAUUUUUUAA